Molecule: ribosomal RNA, 468 nt
Filed under: uncultured bacterium
Lineage: Bacteria
Description: partial 16S ribosomal RNA
Rfam family: Bacterial small subunit ribosomal RNA
Source: RNAcentral
GACGAACGCUGGCGGCGUGCUUAACACAUGCAAGUCGAACGGAAAGGCCCUGCCUUUGUGGGGUGCUCGAGUGGCGAACGGGUGAGUAACACGUGAGUAACCUGCCCUUGACUUUGGGAUAACUUCAGGAAACUGGGGCUAAUACCGGAUAGGAGCUCCUGCUGCAUGGGGGGGGUUGGAAAGUUUCGGCGGUUGGGGAUGGACUCGCGGCUUAUCAGCUUGUUGGUGGGGGAGUGGCUUACCAAGGCUUUGACAGGUAGCCGGCCUGAGAGGGUGACCGGCCACAUUGGGACUGAGAUACGGCCCAGACUCCUACGGGAGGCAGCAGUGGGGAAUAUUGCACAAUGGGCGGAAGCCUGAUGCAGCAACGCCGCGUGCGGGAUGACGGCCUUCGGGUCGUAAACCGCUUUCGCCUGUGACGAAGCGUGAGUGACGGUAAUGGGUAAAGAAGCACCGGCUAACUACGUG